CUGUUCUGGGUUGAACACGCCUGCCACCGCAGGGAAGCUGCCUGUUGUCUCAGCAGAACAUUCUCUGUUGCUGUUUCAGCUCCUUGAGGCAGCAUGAAGGACAAUGAGGCUCCAGCUGGUACAAGAGCAGACCCUUAUGGACAGGUUAAUUCCUAUCCAAGAUGAACAUUCCCCCCCCAGUUCUCCAUCAUCAAAGCAGUCUGGAAAGUCAGGCCUGCCCGAAGGAACCACUGGCAAGGCAGGUGCUGCUGUGUCACCAGAACAGAGAGGAGCUGGCUCACCGCUCACCAGCAGUAGCAGCCAUCUGCGUUCCUCACAGUAGCCUGCCUGCAGGGCCAGAUGUAACAUCUUGCUCAUUUCUUAGGCUCUGGAUUAGUACCCAGCACACUAGAUGCUGCUUCCCUCGAAGCCUGAGGCAAGACGGCAAUGUUCCUUUCCUGCACCAGUGGUUUCACCAUUUCUGUACCCAGGCCCCUGAGAAACAUCCAUUUCUUACUCAGAGAUUUAUAAUAAUAGACUCACGGAAUCAGAGCUGGACGGGACCUCGAGAGGUCUCUAGUCCAGCCCUCCGCACUCACGGCAGGACUCAGUAUUAUCUAGACCGUCCCUGACAGGUGUUUGUCCAACCUGCUCUUAAAAAUCCCCAAUGACAGAGACUCCAGCACCUCCCUAGGCAAUUUAUUCCAGUGCUUAACUACUAUUAUGCCAUGUGCGGUUCAACAAAAUCCAAACAAUCUACACACUGAGACAUGCAGUGAGCAACAGAGUCUGUCAAGUGUGAGCUUGUCAGAAAAUGUAUCUGACAAUUAUGGCUUAUCCAGAAACUGUUCCUAGCAACCAUGAGCGUCCCUGAAAAUCAAUUUCACAGUGUCAUUGUCAAAGAUACUCAAUUUGCUGGACAGUUGUGCUGAUACAUGACGCAAAUGUCAUCUGGGGUCUUACAGACCCCGUGACACUUUUGGUGCUUUAAAAAAAAAAAAAAAAAACCCCCACUGAAACUAUGAUGCUAAAGACCAUACUGAAAGAUUCAUGUGAUCCUAUCAUAACUGCAGCCUCAAAGUAAAAACAAUUUGAUGCUGGAAUACUGCAUAAUUAAUUUGGGGUCUAAUUUACCCCAUGACCUUUUUAGGGAUUUUUUUUUCUUACACAAAACCCACAACAGGUAGGAUGAUAAAACUAAUGGGGAAAGAUUGACUUCAUCCUACCUGAGAAGAGGCACGGCUGUUGGCAUAAAACAUUUUCUUUACAUUGUUGUGAGCAUUGGGGUCAGAUAGACCAAAAACAUUAGAAGAGUUAAAUCUGAUCACACAGACAGCUUCCAAGUGUACAUUAUGUGUUAUGGGUGUGACAUUAUCUUCACUGUAUCUGAGUAACACAGCUCUCCGUUCCACAGGUUAGCUGAAAACAGCCACAGUCCAAUUUCAGAAGUCAGCUGUCUGUGUUUCUAUUUCAUUAGUUUCCAGACUCAGUGAAAUGAACAGGCAGGACUAUGCCAUCGGGAAGCAUUGUCACUGACUGCAAUGGGUACAGGCCCGGGCCCUGAAUGCACCACGAACAGCCUCCUUUGCUUUGCGGGAGAUAAAGGAAACAGUGCAGAAACGCUGGCUCACCAAAGCACGGCUGUCAGGAGUAAGUGAAUGCCCUUUGGACAGAAAACACAGGAGUUGUCAGACCUGCCCAUGCCACAGCUCCACUUGCCUUUGACCAUGCCCAACAGAGGUGCCAGGUGUCAGAGUGGUAGCCAUGUUAGUCUCCAAGGUGCCACAAGGACUACUCGUUUUUCCUAUGUGAUCCUUAGACAAGUCAAAAGUGAAGCAAGAGGCACCAAUGCUGUCUAAAACUUGUAGAGGAUUCCGUAAAGUGGAGCUUUGCUACAAAAUAACCCCAUUUGACUCAGAAAGCCUACAUCAAUAUUGUUUUUGUCACAUAAAGCAACUUCCUCCUAAAACAAAUACAGAGGGGUAAUUUAUCGUAAGUCAUAGGGUCUUGCGAAAGAAGAUCAGGCUGAAUAAUCUGUUCAUAUAACUCGUGAUGAAAAUCUAAGUGUGUAAACAUGAAAUGCAUCAAUAUCAAGGAGAGAAAAUAUUGAGAACCUACAUGAAGUGAGAAUUGUUGAGGCAUUUUACAAUCACUGGGGCAUUUCAUGACAUCCAUUUUUACCUAAAAAUGGAAGGCAUAAAAUGACUUACUGUUCUGAGUACUGGGUUUUGAAUAAAGAACCACCACAGAAUCUUAAAUCCGCUUUCCUGUGGUGGAGCAGGUACUUGGAUGUGAAUGACUACGAAUUGCCACUACGAAUGACAGUGAAUAGUCAUUUGGCUACAGAAGGCAUGAGAAUCACUCUAGUGCCAGGUAGGUUGGGCACUCCCUUUUUUUUUUCGGCUAAAACUAUUCAGUGGAUUCAUAUCAAAUUAACCAAUAAUUUUCAGCUUGACUGAAACUGCAAGUAAACUGUUCAUCCAAAAAAAAAUCACCCAGCUCUAGCUGGGCUGGCAUGCUCAAUACAGCUGGUGAAAUAUUUCAAACAAUUAUUGUUCUCGUUUUUAAGUGAUCUUUUUUCUAAAAUUGAAAUUUUCAUGUAAAAAAAUAUUUUUCCAAGAAUUUGUUCUUUUAACAAAUCCCCAAUAUUAAAAAUGUGCUGUUUGUUAUUCUGGUUUUCUUUUUCCCCUUUUCCUUCUGUUUCCCCUUUUCAGUGGCAAAAUGGAAAGAAAAAAGGGGGGACAAAGGGAGAACUGGGGAGAGAGAAUUGACACUGGAAAAGUUCUACUUUAAAAAAAAAUCCAUUUUUGAAAUUUGUAGACAAAAAUAAAUUUCAAAAUUGUCAAGUUUUAUUGCAAACACCCAUUUUCCAACCAGGUGAGUGCCCUGGUUGCAGAGCUACUCCAAGUGAUGAAGAAGGGGUUGGCUUGUUCCAGUAGGAGCUGCAUCUGCUCUUCUCACCUGGAAGGAGUCUUUGAGGGUGGGGUGCAAAGACAGAAAUAUGGGGACUUGGAAGGGGACCCCACAGAAAAUGAAAUGUCCUGAAGCAGCCAUUUGGGAACAAACAUCUACAAAUUACAGAGCUUAAACAAGUCUACAUGAGCUCCGAUCUGAUCAGACUUGGGGCAAGGACUGUCAUUCUGUUCUGGAUUUGUGCAGUGCCCAGCACAGUGGGGUCCUGGGCCAUGACUAGGGCUCCUAGGUGCUACAAUAAUAAACAAUA
Long non-coding RNA from Chelonia mydas (Green sea turtle), 3202 nucleotides. RefSeq lists it as uncharacterized. The record is from RefSeq and is a predicted model, not a curated record. NCBI's taxonomy places the organism in Eukaryota, Metazoa, Chordata, Testudines, Cheloniidae. The transcript has 3 exons.